GAUGAACGCUAGCUACAGGCUUAACACAUGCAAGUCGAGGGGAAACGACAUCGAAAGCUUGCUUUUGAUGGGCGUCGACCGGCGCACGGGUGAGUAACGCGUAUCCAACCUGCCCAUCACUUGGGAAUAACCUUGCGAAAGUAAGACUAAUACCCAAUGACAUCCCACGAAGACAUCUGAAUGGGAUUAAAGAUUUAUCGGUGAUGGAUGGGGAUGCGUCUGAUUAGCUUGUUGGCGGGGUAACGGCCCACCAAGGCAACGAUCAGUAGGGGUUCUGAGAGGAAGGUCCCCCACAUUGGAACUGAGACACGGUCCAAACUCCUACGGGAGGCAGCAGUGAGGAAUAUUGGGCAAUGGGCGAGAGCCUGAACCAGCCAAGUAGCGUGCAGGAUGACGGCCCUAUGGGUUGUAAACUACUUUUAUAAGGGAAUAAAGUGGGUCUCGUGAGACUUUUUGCAUGUACCUUAUGAAUAAGGACCGGCUAAUUCCGUG
RNAcentral lists this ribosomal RNA (492 nucleotides) under uncultured bacterium. RNAcentral describes it as "partial 16S ribosomal RNA". It matches the Rfam family "Bacterial small subunit ribosomal RNA", at positions 28 to 507 of the family's 1533-position model. The record is from RNAcentral.